GACGAACGCUGGCGGCGUGCUUAACACAUGCAAGUCGAACGGAAAGGCCCUGCUUUUGUGGGGUGCUCGAGUGGCGAACGGGUGAGUAACACGUGAGUAACCUGCCCUUUACUUUGGGAUAACUUCAGGAAACUGAGGCUAAUACCGGAUAGAAUCUCCUACUGCAUGGUGGGGGUUGGAAAGUUUCGGCGGUUGGGGAUGGACUCGCGGCUUAUCAGCUUGUUGGUGGGGUAGUGGCUUACCAAGGCUUUGACGGGUAGCCGGCCUGAGAGGGUGACCGGCCACAUUGGGACUGCGAUACGGCCCAGACUCCUACGGGAGGCAGCAGUGGGGAAUAUGGCACAAUGGGCGGAAGCCUGAUGCAGCAACGCCGCGUGCGGGAUGACGGCCUUCGGGUUGUAAACCGCUUUCGCCUGUGACGAAGCGUGAGUGGCGGUAAUGGGUAAAGAAGCACCGGCUAACUACGUG
This 468-nucleotide ribosomal RNA is filed under the name uncultured bacterium. RNAcentral describes it as "partial 16S ribosomal RNA". It matches the Rfam family "Bacterial small subunit ribosomal RNA", at positions 28 to 507 of the family's 1533-position model. The record is from RNAcentral.